CCCCAGCUAGCUCUGUCAGUAGAGCAUGAGACUGUUAAUCUCAGGAUUGUGGGUUCAAGCCCCACAUUGGGCA
RNAcentral lists this transfer RNA (73 nucleotides) under Pygoscelis adeliae (Adelie penguin). It matches the Rfam family "tRNA". Rfam says of the family: Transfer RNA (tRNA) molecules are approximately 80 nucleotides in length. Their secondary structure includes four short double-helical elements and three loops (D, anti-codon, and T loops). RNAcentral also lists the same sequence under 1 other name. Lineage: Eukaryota; Metazoa; Chordata; Aves; Sphenisciformes; Spheniscidae. The record is from Rfam by way of RNAcentral.